CAUGCAUGUCUAAGUACAUGCCGUAUUAAGGCGAAACCGCGAAUGGCUCAUUAAAUCAGUUAUGGUUCCUUGGAUCGUACCUUACUACUUGGAUAACUGUGGCAAUUCUAGAGCUAAUACAUGCAGCAGAGCUCCGACCCUAGUGGACGAGCGCUUUUAUUAGACCAAAACCGAUCGGACUCUGUCCGUCUCUUGUGGUGACUCUGUAUAACUUUGGGCUGAUCGCACGGGCCCGUCCCGGCGACGUAUCUUUCAAGUGUCUGCCUUAUCAACUUUCGAUGGUAGGUUACGCGCCUACCAUGGUCGUAACGGGUAACGGGGAAUCAGGGUUCGAUUCCGGAGAGGGAGCCUGAGAAACGGCUACCACAUCCAAGGAAGGCAGCAGGCGCGCAAAUUACCCACUCCCAGAACGGGGAGGUAGUGACGAAAAAUAACGAUACGGGACUCUUUUGAGACCCCGUAAUUGGAAUGAGUACACUCUAAACCCUUUAACGAUGAUCCAUCGGAGGGCAAGUCUGGUGCCAGCCGCCGCGGUAACUCCAGCUCCGAUAGCGUAUAUUAAAGUUGUUGCGGUUAAAAAGCUCGUAGUUGGAUCUCAGUUCCAGAUGGGUGGUCCUCCAACCGGGGGUUACUGCCUCUUCUGAACAGCCAGCCGGUUUCUCUUGAUGAUCUUCACCGGUUGUCUUGGGUGACCGGCAAGUUUACUUUGAAAAAAUUAGAGUGCUCAAAGCAGGCGUGACGCCUGAAUAAUGGUGCAUGGAAUAAUGGAAUAGGACCUCAGUUCUAUUUUGUUGGUUUUCGGAACACGAGGUAAUGAUUAAGAGGGACAGACGGGGGCAUUCGUAUUGCGACGCUAGAG
Molecule: ribosomal RNA, 859 nt
Filed under: Portia cf. schultzi d131
Lineage: Eukaryota; Metazoa; Arthropoda; Arachnida; Araneae; Salticidae
Description: SSU rRNA
Rfam family: Eukaryotic small subunit ribosomal RNA
Source: RNAcentral